GCCAUACUCCUAGCCUAAACAAAUGCAACCUACUAAAACACACAAUAAACCAUUUAAAUAAAUAGUACAGGCGAUAGAAAUUUUUUUUGAGCAAUAGAAAAAGUACUGCAAAGGAACGGUGAAAUAAAAAUGAAACAACUAUAAAACAAAAGAAAGAAAAGACUAAACCUUGUACCUUUUGCAUAAUGGUCUAGUAAGUCAAACCUAACAAAAAGAAAUAAAGUCAGCCACCCCGAAACUAGACGAGCUACUUAAAAGCAGCAUUAACAAGAGCCAACCCGUCUCUGUGGCAAAAGAGUGGGACGACUUCUAAGUAGAGGUAAAAAGCCAAACGAGCCUAGUAAUAGCUGGUUGCUUGAAAAAUGAAUAUAAGUUCAGCUUAAAGCACUUUAAAUUAAUAAAAAAUAAAAAUAGCACUUUAAAGUUAAUUAGCAGAGGUACAGCUCUACUAAUAAAGGACACAACCUACAAUAUGAAUAAAGAUUAUAUUAAUAAAAGAAGUUAACUAUGUAGGCCUAAAAACAGCCACCACAAGAAAGCGUCAAAGUUCAGUUUAACAAGCCCUUAUUAUCCCAAUAAAACAUCUAAAUUCACAAAACAUAUCAAGCCUAUCUAUAAAAUAGAUGAGUUUAUACUAGAAUUAGUAACAAGAACACAUUCUCUGCAUGCAAGCGUAAAUCAGAACGAAAAAAUCACUGAUAAUUAACGACCAAAAAUAUUUGACGCACAAGAAAAACAUAUUGAAACAACCGUUAACCCAACACAGGAGCAUAAAAGAAGAUAAAAAGAUUAAAAAGGAACUCGGCAACCAAGAACUUCGCCUGUUUACCAAAAACACCGCCUCUUGCUAAGUAUAGUAUAAGAGGUCCCGCCUGCCCAGUGAUCAUUUUUUUAACGGCCGCGGUAUUAUGACCGUGCAAAGGUAGCGUAAUCACUUGUCUUUUAAAUAAAGACCCGUAUGAAAGGCAAAACGAGAGUUCAACUGUCUCUUUAAUCUUAUCAGUGAAAUUUAUUUCUCCGUGCAGAAGCGGAGAUAACCAUAUAAGACGAGAAGACCCUAUGGAGCUUUAAAUACAGAACCAACUACAACCACAUUUUUAGCCAACAGGCAAAAAAUUAAUAAGUGUAGUCGUGGUUUAGAUUUUCGGUUGGGGCGACCGCGGAGUAAAAAUUAACCUCCACGACAUAUAAUUUAGAACGACACUUCGAAAACUAAAACAUUUACUUUAAUGACCCACUAAGUGAUCAACGAACCAAGUUACCCUAGGGAUAACAGCGCAAUCCUUUCUAAGAGUCCAUAUCGACGAAUGGGUUUACGACCUCGAUGUUGGAUCAGGACACCCAAAUGGUGCAGCCGCUAUUAAAGGUUCGUUUGUUCAACGAUUAAAGUCCUACGUGAUCUGAGUUCAGACCGGAGCAAUCCAGGUCAGUUUCUAUCUAUAAAAAAUUUUUUCUAGUACGAAAGGACCGAAAAAAUAGAGCCUCUUAAAAAUAAAGCUCUUAUUUUACUGAAAACAAAUAAAGACCACACAAAACCACACCUUCAGAGCAAAGAACAA
RNAcentral lists this ribosomal RNA (1559 nucleotides) under Ichthyosaura alpestris (Alpine newt). RNAcentral describes it as "16S ribosomal RNA". It matches the Rfam family "Bacterial large subunit ribosomal RNA", at positions 361 to 2925 of the family's 2925-position model. Lineage: Eukaryota; Metazoa; Chordata; Amphibia; Caudata; Salamandridae. The record is from RNAcentral.